CCAUACCAUCCUGAAUGUGCCUGAUCUUGUCUGAUCUCGGAAGCUAAGCAGGGUGGGACCUGGUUAGUACUUAAAAGCAUCCACAAAAUAGGGAGGAUAUCCAACUUUCUCAUCAGAAGAUCUGGAAG
Molecule: ribosomal RNA, 128 nt
Filed under: Castor canadensis (American beaver)
Lineage: Eukaryota; Metazoa; Chordata; Mammalia; Rodentia; Castoridae
Source: RNAcentral